This 26-nucleotide non-coding RNA is filed under the name Cricetulus griseus (Chinese hamster). The record is from RNAcentral. Lineage: Eukaryota; Metazoa; Chordata; Mammalia; Rodentia; Cricetidae.
UUGGGCUCACGAUUGACAAUUACGGG